Molecule: long non-coding RNA, 788 nt
Organism: Helicoverpa armigera (cotton bollworm)
Lineage: Eukaryota; Metazoa; Arthropoda; Insecta; Lepidoptera; Noctuidae
Exons: 5
Source: RefSeq, a predicted model, not a curated record
UAAGAAAGACAGGCAUUGAGCUCCUUUAAUAUAUUUUACAUAAUAAAUAUAACACUUUAAUUAGCUACCUAUGUUUUACGUUAUUUUCAUAUUUUACGUGUUAAAUCUAGUGUUAAAUAGUGAAGCAGGUAUUACAUUCAAUUCGAAUUCAGAAAUGUCGGUAGAUAGAGUGAAUGAUCUGACUUGCAGUUCACAAAUUACCAACGUCGCGGGUUGCACGUACUUGCAUCAAUGGAAUCACGUUUAUUCUCAACCUUGGGUAGGAUUCGAUGGCACGAUAACCAACUACACGACUGUAAAAGCUUAUACCAGUAAAUACACAUUGACAUUGGAGAAAUUUGAUAACCUGACAAGCAUUUACAGUAACUUCGUUUCUAAUGACGUAAACAAUAAUAACGUGAUGUCUAUGCAACUGCAAUGUGGUGGACAUCCGAACAAAAACGUCAUCAAUUUAGUUGAUAAUGGUUAUUAUCACUACACCGUGGAUUUUGUUGUCACAUAUACAGAUAAACCGUUUAAAUUUAACUGCCAGCAAUAUUCGAGUCUUUCAAAAUAUGUAUACGUGGCCUGGAUUAACUCCGAAGGGAAUAGAGUAAUAGUAUUCAAAAACAGUCCAGUUCAAGCCGACUUUUCGUUAUUAAAAACGCACAAUGGUUCAAUAUUGUGUUGUAUUUACUACGUUGAAACUACUACUGAAACUUCAGUGGAUAUAAGACGCUUUGUCAAAAGCAAGACUUUGUUUGUUUAUCAAGAAAACUUACCAGGAAAUGAUUUUAUUACGAAAACAG